CUGAUCAAAGGGGAGAGCCUGGCUGAAGGGCAAUCAGCCAGCCUGUGGCUGCUAAGGGACCUGAAGCUCUCCAGUGGAGAGGAAGAUAUUUGUGUGUCCUCAGUCCUUCCCCAAGAGAGAAGGUGCUUCAUGGAUGCCCCCUGGCAACAUAGUGACCCCUCUGGCUGGCUGAAGUGUCCUUGAUCGGAGCAAGAAACCCAUCAUGGAACCACUGAGAAUGGAGAGGUCUACAGGGGACAGCUCAGCGGAGGCCUGGGAAAUGUGUAACACACAUGACCUGCUCUAGUAGCUAGUCCACAUGGAGGUUAACAA
Long non-coding RNA from Dermochelys coriacea (leatherback sea turtle), 312 nucleotides. RefSeq lists it as uncharacterized. Lineage: Eukaryota; Metazoa; Chordata; Testudines; Dermochelyidae. The transcript has 3 exons. The record is from RefSeq and is a predicted model, not a curated record.